AUGGGGACAAGCAACAUGGGCAAUGAAGGGAGCUCAGCCGCAAGCAACGAUGACAGCACGGUGGAUGAGGAAGGCGGCCAGGACAUGACCAGGGCCGGCGACUCGUCAUCGUCGGUGCGCCCCUACGUUCAUUCCAAGAAUCCCCGCCUCCGCUGGACGGCGGAGCUCCACCACUGCUUCGUCCGCGGCCGCGCCAUCGAAAGGCUCGGCGGCCAAGAUUGUGCAACUCCUAAGCUCGUCCUUCAGUUGAUGAAUGUUAGAGGGCUUAGCAUAGGCCAUGUCAAGAGCCAUCUCCAGAUGUACAGGAGCAAGAAGAUUGACGACUCCGGCAUGGUCAUCAUAGGUCACUUGCAACAGGGAGGACAAGUCUAUAACUACGCUCAUCUCCUCCAUCAUCGUGUCAGUGGUGCUGGUACAAUGCUCUCUAGGUUUGGCACUACACCAUGUCCUCCAUGGAGGAGGAGGAGCUGGCAUGAACCAUACUGGCUCCAUGGCCACCGUUUACUUGGAUCAAAACCCAACUAUUCAUCAUCAGCAGCAGCUCACCAUGACGAGGCUCUCCAUAGAGCACGUGCUCAACAUGUAUCUGGCUAUAACCCAGCUUUGAUAGUCCAAGAACCCUGUUCAUCAAGAAAUGAUCAUCAUGCCAUGAACCGCUACAACUAUGAAAGACGGCCACUGCAAGCUGCUAACGAUGAUCAUAUCCAUGGUCGUGAUAUAAACCUGGAUCUCUCGCUCGAUAUCGGUGGUGGACAGCGGCUAGAGAUGAAGAGCAAGAGAGGCUGCACGAGAUGGGGGAAACAAGCAGAAGAAGAUGAUGACCAUCAGGUUGAUGUCAAUGAAGAAUUGAAGAGCACUCCUACUAGACUGUCUCUAUCCCUAUUCUCUCCUAGUCCUAGUACUCUUGAUCGAAAGGGGAGUAGUGCUAGUGAUCAUGCACUAGGUCUAGAUGUCAAUGUGGAUAAGAUAGGGAAAGUGCAAUAUGCAAUCAGGGCAAGCACUCUUGAUCUCACCAUAUGA
Molecule: ribosomal RNA, 1020 nt
Filed under: Triticum aestivum (bread wheat)
Lineage: Eukaryota; Viridiplantae; Streptophyta; Magnoliopsida; Poales; Poaceae
Description: partial small subunit ribosomal RNA
Source: RNAcentral